AGGGUUUGAUCAUGGCUCAGAACGUACGCUGGCGGCAUGCCUAACACAUGCAAGUCGAACGCAGUAGCAAUACUGAGUGGCAGACGGGUGCGUAACAUGUGGGAAUCUGCCUUGUGGUUCAGGACAACAUUGGGAAACUGAUGCUAAUACUGGAUAAGCCCUUACGGGGAAAGUUUUAACGCCAUAAGAUGAGCCCGCACUUGAUUAGCUUGUUGGUGAGGUAAAAGCUCACCAAGGCAAUGAUCAAUAGCUGAUCUGAGAGGAUGAUCAGCCACACUGGGACUGAGACACGGCCCAGACUCCUACGGGAGGCAGCAGUGGGGAAUUUUGCACAAUGGAGGAAACUCUGAUGCAGCGAUGCCGCGUGAGUGAAGAAGGCCUUUGGGUUGUAAAGCUCUUUUGUGGGGGAAGAUAAUGACGGUACCCCAAGAAUAAGAUCCGGCUAACUUCGUGCCAGCAGCCGCGGUAAUACGAAGGGAUCUAGCGUAGUUCGGAAUUACUGGGCGUAAAGCGCGCGUAGGCGGUUUAGAAAGUUAAUUGUGAAAUCCCAAAGCUUAACUUUGGAACAGCAAUUAAAACUUCUAAACUAGAGUUUGAUAGAGGGAAGCGGAAUACAUAGUGUAGAGGUGAAAUUCGUAGAUAUUAUGUAGAACACCAGUUGCGAAGGCGGCUUCCUGGGUCAACACUGACGCUGAGGUGCGAAAGUAUGGGUAGCAAAGAGGAUUAGAUACCCUCGUAGUCCAUACCUUAAACGAUGAUUGCUAGAUGUUGGAAAUCUUUUUCAGUAUCGCAGCUAACGCGAUAAGCAGACCGCCUGGGGAGUACGGCCGCAAGGUUAAAACUCAAAUGAAUUGACGGGGGCCCGCACAAGCGGUGGAGCAUGUGGUUUAAUUCGAUGCAACGCGAAGAACCUUACCAGGUCUUGACAUCCAGCGAACUGCUCAGAGAUGGGCGGGUGCCUUCGGGAGCGCUGAGACAGGUGCUGCAUGGCUGUCGUCAGCUCGUGUCGUGAGAUGUUGGGUUAAGUCCCGUAACGAGCGCAACCCUUGUCCUUAGUUGCCAUCAUUAAGUUGGGGACUCAUUGGAGACCGCCGGGGUCAACUCGGAGGAAGGUGGGGAUGACGUCAAGUCCUCAUGCCCCUUAUGUCCAGGGCUGCAAACACGCUACAAUGGCCGAUACAAAGGGCUGCGAGCUCGCAAGAGUGAGCCAAUCCCAUAAAGUCGGUCUCAGUUCGGAUUGAAGUCUGCAACUCGACUUCAUGAAGCUGGAGUUGCUAGUAAUCCCGGAUCAGCACGCCGGGGUGAAUACGUUCCCGGGCCUUGUACACACCGCCCGUCACACCACGAAAGUCGGCAACACCCGAAGCCGGGGGCCCAACCGCAAGGAGGGACCCGUCGAAGGUGGGGUCGGUGAUUGGGGUGAAGUCGUAACAAGGUAGCCGUA
This 1444-nucleotide ribosomal RNA is filed under the name uncultured bacterium. Its description in RNAcentral is "partial 16S ribosomal RNA". It matches the Rfam family "Bacterial small subunit ribosomal RNA". The record is from RNAcentral.